GAUGAAGAACGCAGCGAAAUGCGAUAACUAGUGUGAAUUGCAGAUUUCAGUGAAUCAUCGAGUCUUUGAACGCACAUUGCGCCCGCCAGCACUCUGGCGGGCAUGCCUGUUCGAGCGUCAUUUCAACCAUCAAGCCCCCAGGGGCUUGUGCUGGGGCCCUGCGGCUGCCCGCAGGCCCUGAAAACCAGUGGCGGGCUCGCUAGUCACACCGAGCGCAGUAGCACAUCUCGCUCAGGGCGUGCGGCGGGCUCCUGCCGUGAAACCCCCCACUGUAACCCCAAAGGUUGACCUCGGAUCAGGUAGGAAUACCCGCUGAACUUAAGCAUAUCAAUAAGCGGAGGA
This 342-nucleotide unclassified non-coding RNA is filed under the name soil metagenome. Its description in RNAcentral is "partial contains 5.8S ribosomal RNA, internal transcribed spacer 2, and large subunit ribosomal RNA". The stretch from base 1 to 120 matches the Rfam family "5.8S ribosomal RNA", at positions 35 to 154 of the family's 154-position model. The record is from RNAcentral.